AGCUCCAAUAGCGUAUAUUUAAGUUGUUGCGGUUAAAAAGCUCGUAGUUGGAUUUCGGGAGGGUACCACCGGUCCGCCAUUGGUGAGUACUGGUGCGACCUCUUUACUGGUGGUGACGGCGUUCUGGGGUUUGUUCCUCGGGAGUCGGAGUCACCGAUGUUACUUUGAGUAAAUUAGAGUGUUCAAAGCAGGCGAUCGCUGUGAAUACGAUAGCAUGGGAUAACACGAUAGGACUCUGGCCUAUCUUGUUGGUCUGUGGGACCGGAGUAAUGAUUAAGAGGGACAGUCGGGGGCAUUCGUAUUUCAUGGUCAGAGGUGAAAUUCUUGAAUUCAUGAAAGACGAACAUCUGCGAAAGCAUUUGCCAAGGAUGUUUUCAUUGAUCAAGAACGAAAGUACGCA
Molecule: ribosomal RNA, 400 nt
Filed under: phytoplankton environmental sample
Lineage: Eukaryota
Description: partial small subunit ribosomal RNA
Rfam family: Eukaryotic small subunit ribosomal RNA
Source: RNAcentral